This 296-nucleotide long non-coding RNA is filed under the name Fukomys damarensis (Damara mole-rat). RNAcentral describes it as "lncRNA (ENSFDAG00000030761.1)". Lineage: Eukaryota; Metazoa; Chordata; Mammalia; Rodentia; Bathyergidae. The record is from RNAcentral.
GUGGGGGUUAAAGUGCAUGCAGUUGAGCUGGGAGUUGGCAUAGGACGAAACUUGUUUCUCUGGUGGGGGGGCUGUGGGGCUGACUCUUGCCUGUGGUCGUUCAGGGCGGCGUUUCUGGGGCGUUGUGAAUACCAUCCUUCCUCAAGUAGGUGGGUGAGCCAUCCUGAUCUUCCCAGCCAGCCCAUCUGAUGGAAGAAUGGGACCGCACCCGCUCCAGGGAGUGAAAUCGUUCCUAAAUGCAGCUGGCAAGGCACAUGCCUCCAAGACCACAUUUCUCUGGCUCCUAUGCAGAAACC